AGCUUGCUCCUCUGACGUUAGCGGCGGACGGGUGAGUAACACGUGGAUAACCUACCUAUAAGACUGGGAUAACUUCGGGAAACCGGAGCUAAUACCGGAUAAUAUAUUGAACCGCAUGGUUCAAUAGUGAAAGACGGUUUUGCUGUCACUUAUAGAUGGAUCCGCGCCGCAUUAGCUAGUUGGUAAGGUAACGGCUUACCAAGGCAACGAUGCGUAGCCGACCUGAGAGGGUGAUCGGCCACACUGGAACUGAGACACGGUCCAGACUCCUACGGGAGGCAGCAGUAGGGAAUCUUCCGCAAUGGGCGAAAGCCUGACGGAGCAACGCCGCGUGAGUGAUGAAGGUCUUCGGAUCGUAAAACUCUGUUAUUAGGGAAGAACAAAUGUGUAAGUAACUAUGCACGUCUUGACGGUACCUAAUCAGAAAGCCACGGCUAACUACGUGCCAGCAGCCGCGGUAAUACGUAGGUGGCAAGCGUUAUCCGGAAUUAUUGGGCGUAAAGCGCGCGUAGGCGGUUUUUUAAGUCUGAUGUGAAAGCCCACGGCUCAACCGUGGAGGGUCAUUGGAAACUGGAAAACUUGAGUGCAGAAGAGGAAAGUGGAAUUCCAUGUGUAGCGGUGAAAUGCGCAGAGAUAUGGAGGAACACCAGUGGCGAAGGCGACUUUCUGGUCUGUAACUGACGCUGAUGUGCGAAAGCGUGGGGAUCAAACAGGAUUAGAUACCCUGGUAGUCCACGCCGUAAACGAUGAGUGCUAAGUGUUAGGGGGUUUCCGCCCCUUAGUGCUGCAGCUAACGCAUUAAGCACUCCGCCUGGGGAGUACGACCGCAAGGUUGAAACUCAAAGGAAUUGACGGGGACCCGCACAAGCGGUGGAGCAUGUGGUUUAAUUCGAAGCAACGCGAAGAACCUUACCAAAUCUUGACAUCCUCUGACCCCUCUAGAGAUAGAGUUUUCCCCUUCGGGGGACAGAGUGACAGGUGGUGCAUGGUUGUCGUCAGCUCGUGUCGUGAGAUGUUGGGUUAAGUCCCGCAACGAGCGCAACCCUUAAGCUUAGUUGCCAUCAUUAAGUUGGGCACUCUAAGUUGACUGCCGGUGACAAACCGGAGGAAGGUGGGGAUGACGUCAAAUCAUCAUGCCCCUUAUGAUUUGGGCUACACACGUGCUACAAUGGACAAUACAAAGGGCAGCGAAACCGCGAGGUCAAGCAAAUCCCAUAAAGUUGUUCUCAGUUCGGAUUGUAGUCUGCAACUCGACUAUAUGAAGCUGGAAUCGCUAGUAAUCGUAGAUCAGCAUGCUACGGUGAAUACGUUCCCGGGUCUUGUACACACCGCCCGUCA
Molecule: ribosomal RNA, 1338 nt
Filed under: Enterococcus faecium
Lineage: Bacteria; Bacillati; Bacillota; Bacilli; Lactobacillales; Enterococcaceae
Description: bacterial SSU rRNA
Rfam family: Bacterial small subunit ribosomal RNA
Source: RNAcentral